GAUGAACGCUAGCGGGAGGCUUAACACAUGCAAGUCGUGGGGCAGCAUGGUGUAGCAAUACACUGAUGGCGACCGGCGCACGGGUGAGUAACGCGUAUGCAACCUACCCAGUACAGGGGGAUAGCCCGGAGAAAUUCGGAUUAAUACCCCAUAAUGAUAUUAAGUGGCAUCAUUUGAUAUUUAAAGUUUCGGCGGUACUGGAUGGGCAUGCGUAAGAUUAGCUAGUUGGUAGGGUAACGGCCUACCAAGGCUCCGAUCUUUAGGGGUCCUGAGAGGGUGAUCCCCCACACUGGUACUGAGACACGGACCAGACUCCUACGGGUGGCAG
RNAcentral lists this ribosomal RNA (328 nucleotides) under uncultured Bacteroidota bacterium. Its description in RNAcentral is "bacterial SSU rRNA". It matches the Rfam family "Bacterial small subunit ribosomal RNA", at positions 28 to 351 of the family's 1533-position model. The record is from RNAcentral. Lineage: Bacteria; Pseudomonadati; Bacteroidota.